RNAcentral lists this ribosomal RNA (460 nucleotides) under uncultured bacterium. RNAcentral's name for it is "partial 16S ribosomal RNA". It matches the Rfam family "Bacterial small subunit ribosomal RNA", at positions 338 to 795 of the family's 1533-position model. The record is from RNAcentral.
CCUACGGGAGGCAGCAGUGAGGAAUAUUGGUCAAUGGGCGAAAGUCUGAACCAGCCAAGUCGCGUGAGGGAUGACUGCCCUAUGGUUUGUAAACUUCUUUUAUAUGGGAAUAAAAUGUUCCACGUGUCGUGUUUUGUAUGUACCAUAUGAAUAAGGAUCGGCUAACUCCGUGCCAGCAGCCGCGGUAAUACGGAGGAUCCGAGCGUUAUCCGGAUUUAUUGGGUUUAAAGGGAGCGUAGGGGGAUUGUUAAGUCAGUUGUGAAAGUUUGCGGCUCAACCGUAAAAUUGCAGUUGAAACUGGGAGGCUUGAGUACAGGAGAGGUGGGCGGAAUUCGUGGGGUAGCGGUGAAAUGCUUAGAUAUCACGAAGAACUCCGAUUGCGAAGGCAGCUUACUGGACUGUAACUGACACUGAGGCUCGAAAGUGUGGGGAUCAAACAGGAUUAGAUACCCGGGUAGUC